UCCUGACUGACCGAUAGUGAACCAGUACCGUGAGGGAAAGGCGAAAAGAACCCCGGCGAGGGGAGUGAAAAAGAACCUGAAACCGUGUACGUACAAGCAGUGGGAGCACGCUUAGGCGUGUGACUGCGUACCUUUUGUAUAAUGGGUCAGCGACUUAUAUUCUGUAGCAAGGUUAACCGAAUAGGGGAGCCGAAGGGAAACCGAGUCUUAACUGGGCGUUAAGUUGCAGGGUAUAGACCCGAAACCCGGUGAUCUAGCCAUGGGCAGGUUGAAGGUUGGGUAACACUAACUGGAGGACCGAACCGACUAAUGUUGAAAAAUUAGCGGAUGACUUGUGGCUGGGGGUGAAAGGCCAAUCAAACCGGGAGAUAGCUGGUUCUCCCCGAAAGCUAUUUAGGUAGCGCCUCGUGAAUUCAUCUCCGGGGGUAGAGCACUGUUUCGGCAAGGGGGUCAUCCCGACUUACCAACCCGAUGCAAACUGCGAAUACCGGAGAAUGUUAUCACGGGAGACACACGGCGGGUGCUAACGUCCGUCGUGAAGAGGGAAACAACCCAGACCGCCAGCUAAGGUCCCAAAGUCAUGGUUAAGUGGGAAACGAUGUGGGAAGGCCCAGACAGCCAGGAUGUUGGCUUAGAAGCAGCCAUCAUUUAAAGAAAGCGUAAUAGCUCACUGGUCGAGUCGGCCUGCGCGGAAGAUGUAACGGGGCUAAACCAUGCACCGAAGCUGCGGCAGCGACGCUUAUGCGUUGUUGGGUAGGGGAGCGUUCUGUAAGCCUGUGAAGGUGUACUGUGAGGUAUGCUGGAGGUAUCAGAAGUGCGAAUGCUGACAUAAGUAACGAUAAAGCGGGUGAAAAGCCCGCUCGCCGGAAGACCAAGGGUUCCUGUCCAACGUUAAUCGGGGCAGGGUGAGUCGACCCCUAAGGCGAGGCCGAAAGGCGUAGUCGAUGGGAAACAGGUUAAUAUUCCUGUACUUGGUGUUACUGCGAAGGGGGGACGGAGAAGGCUAUGUUGGCCGGGCGACGGUUGUCCCGGUUUAAGCGUGUAGGCUGGUUUUCCAGGCAAAUCCGGAAAAUCAAGGCUGAGGCGUGAUGACGAGGCACUACGGUGCUGAAGCAACAAAUGCCCUGCUUCCAGGAAAAGCCUCUAAGCAUCAGGUAACAUCAAAUCGUACCCCAAACCGACACAGGUGGUCAGGUAGAGAAUACCAAGGCGCUUGAGAGAACUCGGGUGAAGGAACUAGGCAAAAUGGUGCCGUAACUUCGGGAGAAGG
This 1270-nucleotide ribosomal RNA is filed under the name Escherichia coli. RNAcentral's name for it is "partial 23S ribosomal RNA". It matches the Rfam family "Bacterial large subunit ribosomal RNA", at positions 474 to 1746 of the family's 2925-position model. Lineage: Bacteria; Pseudomonadati; Pseudomonadota; Gammaproteobacteria; Enterobacterales; Enterobacteriaceae. The record is from RNAcentral.